UGCAGGAAUUCACAUUGGCCAACGGCCU
This 28-nucleotide non-coding RNA is filed under the name Mus musculus (house mouse). The record is from RNAcentral. Lineage: Eukaryota; Metazoa; Chordata; Mammalia; Rodentia; Muridae.